Molecule: ribosomal RNA, 241 nt
Filed under: uncultured bacterium
Lineage: Bacteria
Description: partial 16S ribosomal RNA
Rfam family: Bacterial small subunit ribosomal RNA
Source: RNAcentral
GAUCAUGGCUCAGGAUGAACGCUAGCUACAGGCUUAACACAUGCAAGUCGAGGGGCAGCAUUUUAGUUUGCUUGCAAACUGAAGAUGGCGACCGGCGCACGGGUGAGUAACACGUAUCCAACCUGCCGAUAACUCCGGAAUAGCCUUUCGAAAGAAAGAUUAAUACCGGAUAGCAUACGAAUAUCGCAUGAUAUUUUUAUUUAAAGAAUUUCGGUUAUCGAUGGGGAUGCGUUCCCAUUAG